AACAAUCUGGAGAGUAGUUAAUGGAGUCGGUGACUCAGCUCACUUUGCUGUGGUUUCUGCUCUGUCAUCAGCAUGGAUGUCUGGUCAUUUUCGUAGAAACCAAGGAGAGUCCUGGAAGAAAUGAUGAGAAAAACCCUGGAGCAAAAUACUUUACCAAAAAAGGACAAAAUAAGGCUUGUGACUGCAAUUUAAAAAUUGUUAAAGGACACCGUUUCAUAGGGAAUAAAUGAGAAGUGGGUAAUGACUGUUUAUUUGAAUGAUUCAAUGCAAAUUCCCUGGAACAGUAAAUCUGGCCCAGUUUGUUUAAAGUAGAACAUGUUUGACCUGAAACUUCUCGGAAAUACAAAUAUUUUGUAAGAAGACACGGUUCUUGGGUCUUCUCUCUCUUAUUCUUCAGAAUGAGUCUUCCCUCCAGAAACUCCUCUGAGAUUUGGCUGUGGUCUCCCACGCCCUGUCAGGCAGCGACUGCAGGCUUCUGUGGUUCUCGUUUCCAAACCUCAAACCAUGAGAGACAUGGAGGCUCUUCGAAAUGAUGGUGACACUGCUCUCCUGGGGAGGGCUGGACAUGGAUCGUCCUUUCCCAGCUCCGCUUAAUCUGAAGCAGGAGGAUCUGGCUGAGAGCUGGGAUGAACUUCAAUCUGGUUCUGCCGGAUACAAAAUCGACUGAGAAAUGAUGCCACCAACCAAAAUGGUUUCUGAAGUUUGGGAAUGUAAACAUUUUUUUCCUUCUUUUAGAGAUUUUCAGAUAAUGGAGUCUGGUCCCUCUGUCCAUGGGCCAUCAGCACCUGCAGUUCACACCACACUUUCCAGGGAAGAAGGCAUCUACAGCACACCACCCACUGCAGGAACAGUGCAGAUUCCCACAUCUACAGCACAGCACCCACUGCAGGAACAGCACAGUUUCCCACAUCUACAGUGCAGCACCCACUGCAGGAAGAGCGCAGAUUCCCACAUCUACAGUGCAGCACCCACUGCAGGAACAGCGCAGAUUCCCACAUCUACAGCUCAGCACCCACUGCAGGAAGAGCGCAGAUUCCCACAUCUACAGAACAGCACACACUGCAGGAACAGUGCAGAUUCCCACAUCUACAGCUCAGCACCCACUGCAGGAACAGCGCAGAUUCCCUCAUCUACAGCACGGCACCCACUGCAGGAACAGCACAGAUUCCCACAUCUACAGUACGGCACCCACUGCAGGAACAGCGCAGAUUCCCACAUCUACAGCACAGCACCCACUGCAGGAACAGCACAGAUUCCCACAUCUACAGUACGGCACCCACUGCAGGAACAGUGCAGAUUCCCACAUCUACAGUACGGCACCCACUGCAGGAACAGCGCAGAUUCCCUCAUCUACAGCACAGCACCCACUGAGGGACAGUGCAGAUUCCCACAUCUACAGCACAGCACCCACUGCAGGAACAGCACAGAUUCCCACAUCUACAGUACGGCACCCACUGCAGGAACAGUACAGAUUCCCACAUCUACAGUACGGCACCCACUGCAGGAACAGCGCAGAUUCCCUCAUCUACAGCACAGCACCCACUGAGGGACAGUGCAGAUUCCCACAUCUACAGCACAGCACCCACUGCAGGAACAGCACAGAUUCCCACAUCUACAGUACGGCACCCACUGCAGGAACAGUGCAGAUUCCCACAUCUACAGUACGGCACCCACUGCAGGAACAGCGCAGAUUCCCUCAUCUACAGCACAGCACCCACUGAGGGACAGUGCAGAUUCCCACAUCUACAGUGCAGCACCCACUGCAGGAACAGUGCAGAUUCCCACAUCUACAGCACAGCACACACUGCAGGAACAGUGCAGUUUCCCUUGCGUCGCCCAGCAUAUGCAAUCCCCACUGCACGGAAGUCACCUGCACAACGCUGGAGUUGCCAACGGUUUGUGUUUCUAAGUUCCACUUGGGAGUUAGAUCUCAUCUUUAAUAAUAAUAGUUAAAUCCUUGUUUCGUUCAAGUUUAAAUGUGUAUAAACUCUGAAAUUCUAUUUUUACAGAUAGCUACAAAAGCUCACAAAAUAUAUCACUUCAAAUCCCUACAUGUUAUGUCUCCUGGGCAUACAAACUACAUUGAUGGUAAUGAACUACCAGAGUUUAAAUCUUAUGUUUCUUCUAAAUAAUGAACUCCUGUUUGUCAACCUGUAUUUUCACUUUUUUCUAUACUCCUGUGCAGUGUAUUUAAAGAAAGAAAUAUGGAAAAUAGUGAAAGACAUAGAAAAGAGUGGUCUAUCACCAACCUUCCCCCUUCCUCUCUUGUAUAUUGGAAAUCUCCAUCUAUGUAGCCCAAUUACAUCUCUUCAUUAGUCUGAUUUGGUGUUACUCACUUUUAAAAUAUAGUUGUUUGCAAAGUCUGAAAAUUAUCUUGAAAAAUGCAAAUUUUUUAAUGUGUACAAUUCUAUUUGUGCUAAAUAAAUUUAGACCUUUCUUAUAUUCAA
Homo sapiens (human) is the source of this 2447-nucleotide long non-coding RNA. RefSeq annotates it as mucin-5AC-like. The record is from RefSeq and is marked validated. Lineage: Eukaryota; Metazoa; Chordata; Mammalia; Primates; Hominidae. The transcript is spliced from 3 exons.